Scatophagus argus is the source of this 833-nucleotide long non-coding RNA. RefSeq lists it as uncharacterized. The record is from RefSeq and is a predicted model, not a curated record. The transcript has 2 exons. NCBI's taxonomy places the organism in Eukaryota, Metazoa, Chordata, Actinopteri, Scatophagidae.
ACAAAUGAAUGAAUGAAUAAAUAAAUCAAGGUAAAUAAAAUGUAAACACAAUGAAUAUGAAUAAUAAAUAUAUCAUCAAAUUUGUUCUCUGAAUUCAGAGUGCUAUUUCAAGGAAACUUCCUGUUGCCACUUGUAACUGAGUCAGUUUAAGUUAAGUUCAUAAAUAGUUUUGAGUUUAAAAAUAAUCAUUUAUGUUUGGUUAUUUUUUUCCUUGUUAAUGAACAUGACUAUCAAACUAAUGUAGUUUGUCUCCGCGGGGGGUCGGGUUAUUAUUACCUGCACUCGGGAGACUCACCUUGAGAAAGAGACUUUACUGGCGUCAGUGAAGAUGUUUGUUGUCGUCACGUUGCUGCAGUAUGACAGAAGAUGUGGUUAAGAAGGACUGAAAGACUUGAAGUUUUCUUCGUACCAACGCGGCCAAUGAGUCCUCACGGCUUGACGGACUGAUGACGUAUCGUGACGUAUCGGCAUGUGGCAACUGCAUGUUGAGGACGCAGAUAAAAGCCUGGAACCAAAGACCGCUUUGUGCUCGUGAUUAAACUGGAGGGGACUCACACCACUGACCAGUUUCACUUCAGGAUGAUAGCAGACCACACCACGGUGUUUCACAAUGAGUUUCAGGACGUUCUGAUGUAGCAUUUCAAAAUAAAGGCCAUCCAAAAUCCCACAUGUCAGCUAGUUUUUACUCUGUUUUCAGAGUGUAAUUAAAAGGAAACCUUCUGUUGCCACUGACCAGUUUCACUUCAGGAUGAUAGCAGACCACCCCACGGUGUUUCACAAUGAGUUUCAGGACGUUCUGAUGUAGCAUUUCAAAAUAAAGGCCAUCCAAAAUC